Molecule: long non-coding RNA, 376 nt
Organism: Hordeum vulgare subsp. vulgare (domesticated barley)
Lineage: Eukaryota; Viridiplantae; Streptophyta; Magnoliopsida; Poales; Poaceae
Exons: 2
Source: RefSeq, a predicted model, not a curated record
UGUGGACGCCAAAACAGAAACACCAAGAAGAAGAAGAAGAAGAAGUUUGGGUGUGAUCUUAUGGAGGGGAAACCUAUUCUACUUUGCGUGAUGAUGCUUUUGCUGCUAGGAAAUCCCACCCAUGCUGUGAAUUGUAAAUCACAUAUUGCUUAUUCAGGCACAUCAUGCGAUGAAUUAAGUUGCCGGCUGGCCUGCCAGCAUGACGGGGGAGGUCGCCCCACAAAUGGUAAUUGUGUGGUUGUCAACGCUUCCGUUCAGGAAUGUAACUGUGCCGUAUGUGACUAGAGAUGAUGCACUAUUCCAUCAUGUCAAACAACGGACAAUGAUUUGAUCCAUAAUAAAAUCUUCAUGUGACAUGCAUGUGGGAAUGUAUAUA